This 2923-nucleotide ribosomal RNA is filed under the name Klebsiella pneumoniae. RNAcentral describes it as "23S ribosomal RNA". It matches the Rfam family "Bacterial large subunit ribosomal RNA". Lineage: Bacteria; Pseudomonadati; Pseudomonadota; Gammaproteobacteria; Enterobacterales; Enterobacteriaceae. The record is from RNAcentral.
GGGUUGUGAGGUUAAGCGACUAAGCGUACACGGUGGAUGCCCUGGCAGUCAGAGGCGAUGAAGGACGUGCUAAUCUGCGAAAAGCGUCGGUAAGGUGAUAUGAACCGUUAUAACCGGCGAUGUCCGAAUGGGGAAACCCAGUGUGAUUCGUCACACUAUCGUUAACUGAAUACAUAGGUUAACGAGGCGAACCGGGGGAACUGAAACAUCUAAGUACCCCGAGGAAAAGAAAUCAACCGAGAUUCCCCCAGUAGCGGCGAGCGAACGGGGAGCAGCCCAGAGUCUGAAUCAGCUUGUGUGUUAGUGGAACGGUCUGGAAAGUCCGACGGUACAGGGUGAUAGUCCCGUACACCAAAAUGCACAGGUUGUGAACUCGAAGAGUAGGGCGGGACACGUGGUAUCCUGUCUGAAUAUGGGGGGACCAUCCUCCAAGGCUAAAUACUCCUGACUGACCGAUAGUGAACCAGUACCGUGAGGGAAAGGCGAAAAGAACCCCGGCGAGGGGAGUGAAAAAGAACCUGAAACCGUGUACGUACAAGCAGUGGGAGCACCUUCGGGUGUGACUGCGUACCUUUUGUAUAAUGGGUCAGCGACUUAUAUUCUGUAGCAAGGUUAACCGUAUAGGGGAGCCGCAGGGAAACCGAGUCUUAACUGGGCGUUAAGUUGCAGGGUAUAGACCCGAAACCCGGUGAUCUAGCCAUGGGCAGGUUGAAGGUUGGGUAACACUAACUGGAGGACCGAACCGACUAAUGUUGAAAAAUUAGCGGAUGACUUGUGGCUGGGGGUGAAAGGCCAAUCAAACCGGGAGAUAGCUGGUUCUCCCCGAAAGCUAUUUAGGUAGCGCCUCGUGAACUCAUCUUCGGGGGUAGAGCACUGUUUCGGCUAGGGGGUCAUCCCGACUUACCAACCCGAUGCAAACUACGAAUACCGAAGAAUGUUAUCACGGGAGACACACGGCGGGUGCUAACGUCCGUCGUGAAGAGGGAAACAACCCAGACCGCCAGCUAAGGUCCCAAAGUCAUGGUUAAGUGGGAAACGAUGUGGGAAGGCACAGACAGCCAGGAUGUUGGCUUAGAAGCAGCCAUCAUUUAAAGAAAGCGUAAUAGCUCACUGGUCGAGUCGGCCUGCGCGGAAGAUGUAACGGGGCUAAACCAUGCACCGAAGCUGCGGCAGCGACACUAUGUGUUGUUGGGUAGGGGAGCGUUCUGUAAGCCUGCGAAGGUGUGCUGUGAGGCAUGCUGGAGGUAUCAGAAGUGCGAAUGCUGACAUAAGUAACGAUAAAGCGGGUGAAAAGCCCGCUCGCCGGAAGACCAAGGGUUCCUGUCCAACGUUAAUCGGGGCAGGGUGAGUCGACCCCUAAGGCGAGGCCGAAAGGCGUAGUCGAUGGGAAACAGGUUAAUAUUCCUGUACUUGGUGUUACUGCGAAGGGGGGACGGAGAAGGCUAUGUUAGCCGGGCGACGGUUGUCCCGGUUUAAGCAUGUAGGCUGGUUAUCCAGGCAAAUCCGGAUAAUCAAGGCUGAGGUGUGAUGACGAGGCACUACGGUGCUGAAGUAACAAAUGCCCUGCUUCCAGGAAAAGCCUCUAAGCAUCAGGUAACAUCAAAUCGUACCCCAAACCGACACAGGUGGUCAGGUAGAGAAUACCAAGGCGCUUGAGAGAACUCGGGUGAAGGAACUAGGCAAAAUGGUGCCGUAACUUCGGGAGAAGGCACGCUGGUGUGUAGGUGAAGCCCCUGCGGGUGGAGCUGAGACCAGUCGAAGAUACCAGCUGGCUGCAACUGUUUAUUAAAAACACAGCACUGUGCAAACACGAAAGUGGACGUAUACGGUGUGACGCCUGCCCGGUGCCGGAAGGUUAAUUGAUGGGGUUAUCCGUAAGGAGAAGCUCUUGAUCGAAGCCCCGGUAAACGGCGGCCGUAACUAUAACGGUCCUAAGGUAGCGAAAUUCCUUGUCGGGUAAGUUCCGACCUGCACGAAUGGCGUAAUGAUGGCCAGGCUGUCUCCACCCGAGACUCAGUGAAAUUGAACUCGCUGUGAAGAUGCAGUGUACCCGCGGCAAGACGGAAAGACCCCGUGAACCUUUACUAUAGCUUGACACUGAACAUUGAGCCUUGAUGUGUAGGAUAGGUGGGAGGCUUUGAAGCGUGGACGCCAGUCUGCGUGGAGCCAACCUUGAAAUACCACCCUUUAAUGUUUGAUGUUCUAACGUUGGCCCCUUACCGGGGUUGCGGACAGUGUCUGGUGGGUAGUUUGACUGGGGCGGUCUCCUCCCAAAGCGUAACGGAGGAGCACGAAGGUUAGCUAAUCCUGGUCGGACAUCAGGAGGUUAGUGCAAUGGCAUAAGCUAGCUUGACUGCGAGCGUGACGGCGCGAGCAGGUGCGAAAGCAGGUCAUAGUGAUCCGGUGGUUCUGAAUGGAAGGGCCAUCGCUCAACGGAUAAAAGGUACUCCGGGGAUAACAGGCUGAUACCGCCCAAGAGUUCAUAUCGACGGCGGUGUUUGGCACCUCGAUGUCGGCUCAUCACAUCCUGGGGCUGAAGUAGGUCCCAAGGGUAUGGCUGUUCGCCAUUUAAAGUGGUACGCGAGCUGGGUUUAGAACGUCGUGAGACAGUUCGGUCCCUAUCUGCCGUGGGCGCUGGAGAAUUGAGGGGGGCUGCUCCUAGUACGAGAGGACCGGAGUGGACGCAUCACUGGUGUUCGGGUUGUCAUGCCAAUGGCACUGCCCGGUAGCUAAAUGCGGAAGAGAUAAGUGCUGAAAGCAUCUAAGCACGAAACUUGCCCCGAGAUGAGUUCUCCCUGAGACUUUAAGUCUCCUGAAGGAACGUUGAAGACGACGACGUUGAUAGGCCGGGUGUGUAAGCGCAGCGAUGCGUUGAGCUAACCGGUACUAAUGAACCGUGAGGCUUAACCUUACAACGCCGAAG